This 235-nucleotide long non-coding RNA is filed under the name Elaeis guineensis (African oil palm). RNAcentral's name for it is "long non-coding RNA (EGUI_LNC019983)". The record is from RNAcentral. Lineage: Eukaryota; Viridiplantae; Streptophyta; Magnoliopsida; Arecales; Arecaceae.
GUUGAGGUUGUGCAGCAGGCAGAGCAGAUGCUGCAGAGCAUCGACAGGAGAUCGAGGGCAGAGCAGAGUGUCAGAUAGAGCAGCUGUGGUGAGGCAUGAUAUAGCGGCUUCCACAGGAAGCAUCCAGGGGUGUCGAAGAUCCUGACACUGGCAGGCCUAGAGAGGGUCUCCUUAGGAGAUUUUGAGAGAGCUUUUAUGAGGAUAGCUUCUAGUUGAGAGAGGUAUGUAUACAGAG